This 2372-nucleotide ribosomal RNA is filed under the name uncultured Planctomycetota bacterium. Its description in RNAcentral is "bacterial SSU rRNA". The stretch from base 1 to 1515 matches the Rfam family "Bacterial small subunit ribosomal RNA". Lineage: Bacteria; Pseudomonadati; Planctomycetota. The record is from RNAcentral.
GGAUUAGGCAUGCAAGUCGAACGUGAAAGGCCUUCGGGCUGAGUAAAGUGGCGCAAGGGUGAGUAACACGUAAUUAACCUACCCCCGAGACGGGAAUAACCGCUGGAAACGGUGGCUAAUACCCGAUCUCAACUUCUUGUCGCAUGGCAGGAAGUGCAAACGGCGGGGAUCCUACGGGACCCGCUGCUCGGGGAGGGGAUUGCGGCCUAUCAGCUUGUUGGUGAGGUAACGGCUUACCAAGGCAACGACGGGUAGCCGGUCUGAGAGGAUGGUCGGUCACACUGGGACUGAGACACUGCCCAGACUCCUACGGGAGGCUGCAGUCGAGAAUCUUCCGCAAUGGACGAAAGUCUGACGGAGCGACGCCGCGUGAAGGAUGAAUGCCCUUGGGUUGUAAACUUCUGUCAGGGUUCAAAGAAAGGGUGAUAGUUAAUGGCUGUCAUCUUGACAUUAGGCCCAAAGGAAGCACCGGCUAACUCUGUGCCAGCAGCCGCGGUAAGACAGAGGGUGCAAACGUUGCUCGGAAUUACUGGGCAUAAAGCGCACGUAGGCGGCCUAGCAAGUGCGGUGUGAAAGCCCCCGGCCUAACCGGGGAACUGCAUCGCAUACUGCUUGGCUAGAGCUUGAGAGGGGAGAGUGGAACUCCUGGUGGAGCGGUGGAAUGCGUAGAUAUCAGGAGGAACGCCAGAGGUGAAGACGACUCUCUGGCUCAAUGCUGACGCUGAGGUGCGAAAGCUAGGGGAGCGAACGGGAUUAGAUACCCCGGUAGUCCUAGCCCUAAACGAUGGGCACUAGCUAGAGGGGAUUCCUAUGUCUUCUCUGGCGAAGCAAAUGUAUUAAGUGCCCCGCCUGGGGAGUACGGUCGCAAGACUAAAACUCAAAGGAAUUGAUGGGGGCUCACACAAGCGGUGGAGCAUGUUGUUUAAUUCGAUGCAACGCGAAGAACCUUACCCAGGCCUGAAUGCAGGGAUUAAGCUGUGAAAGCAGUGGAUUGCCUUCGGGUGUAACCUGCACCGGUGUUGCAUGGCUGUCGUCAGCUCGUGUCGUGAGAUGUUGGGUUAAGUCCCGUAACGAGCGAAACCCCUAUUGUUAGUUGCCAGCGGGUAAUGCCGGGGACUCUAGCGAGACUGCCGUUGUCAAGACGGAGGAAGGUGGGGACGACGUCAAGUCAUCAUGGCCCGUAUUCCUGGGGCUACAAACGUGCUACAAUGGCCGGGACAGAGGGAUGCGAAACCGCGAGGUCAAGCAAACCCCAAAAACCCGGUCUCAGUUCGGAUUGCAGGCUGCAAUUCGCCUGCAUGAAGUUGGAAUCGCUAGUAAUCGCGGAUCAGCUAUGCCGCGGUGAAUAUGUUCCUGAGCCUUGUACACUCCUCCCGUCAAGCCACGAAAGCCGGGAGCGCCCGAAGUCGCUAGCCCAACCCCCAAGGGGGGGCAGCGCCGAAGGCGAGUUCGGUAAUCGGGACUAAGUCGUAACAAGGUAGCCGUAGGGGAACCUGCGGCUGGAUCACCUCCUCUCUAAGGAAAACUUAGACAUCGCUGUCUGGACCUAACCGUCCGGGUGGUGGGUGAAUGAAUAGGCGCACUCGGGGCGCGUGUUGGGCCAUCCACUUUUUUCUUCUUCCGGGAAGCGCUCGUCUGGGCCUAUAGCUCAGUUGGUUAGAGCGUCCGCCUGAUAAGCGGGAGGUCUGUGGUUCAAAUCCACAUAGGCCCACCAGUUUUGCUUUGAACCGUCCUCAGGCGGAGAUAGGUAGGGGCACGCGAAGCCGGACGGUUCGGGGGUUUGCUUUGAAGCACCGGCAGCGGGGACUGAGGUGGGGAUGCCGUAUGUCGGCAACUCGAGGCAGCAAUCGGCAAACGCUCGCGGUACGAGCGGCGCUAGGGGGCGUAGCUCAAUUGGGAGAGCGUCUGCUUUGCACGCAGAAGGUGUCGGUUCGAUUCCGGUCGCCUCCACCAACGCGAGGCCGCCGGACCUGGCUGAGCCAUCCGAAGAAGAAGAAAGGCGAAACACACCGCCACGGAGUCGCAAACAGCGGCGCCACGUGCAGUUCUUUGGAAAUUGGAUGUAAGUCGCGGCCGAGAGUAGAGGUUGCGUGUAUCGGGCGAGAGCUCGAGAACGUUGCUCUGCUGCUCGGCAAUCAAAGGUAAUAGAAGAUAUAAUUGGUCAAGCUACAAAGGGUGCAUGGUGGAUACCUAGGUACCGAGAGCCGAUGAAGGACGUGGCAAAGCUGCGAAAAGCUUCGGGGAGCCGCUAGCAGGCAUUGAUCCGGAGGUGUCCCAAUCAGGAAACUGGACAGGGUUUAUCCCCUGUCAUGGCCGAGCGAAUACAUAGUUCGGUCAGGGGAAGCGGGGCGAACUGAAACAUCUGGAGUAAC